RNAcentral lists this ribosomal RNA (454 nucleotides) under uncultured bacterium. Its description in RNAcentral is "bacterial SSU rRNA". It matches the Rfam family "Bacterial small subunit ribosomal RNA", at positions 349 to 793 of the family's 1533-position model. The record is from RNAcentral.
CAGCAGUGGGGGAAUAUUGCACAAUGGGCGCAAGCCUGAUGCAGCCAUGCCGCGUGUAUGAAGAAGGCCUUCGGGUUGUAAAGUACUUUCAGCAGUGAGGAAGGCAGGUACGUUAAUAGCGUGCUUGUUUGACGUUAGCUGCAGAAGAAGCACCGGCUAACUCCGUGCCAGCAGCCGCGGUAAUACGGAGGGUGCGAGCGUUAAUCGGAAUUACUGGGCGUAAAGCGCAUGCAGGUGGUUUGUUAAGUCAGAUGUGAAAGCCCGGGGCUCAACCUCGGAAUUGCAUUUGAAACUGGCAGACUAGAGUACUGUAGAGGGGGGUAGGAAUUUCAGGUGUAGCGGUGAAAUGCGUAGAGAUCUGAAGGAAUACCGGUGGCGAAGGCGGCCCCCUGGACAGAUACUGACACUCAGAUGCGAAAGCGUGGGGAGCAAACAGGAUUAGAUACCCUGGUAG